GAGAGUUUGAUCAUGGCUCAUAUUGAACGCUGGCGGCAGGCUUAACACGUGCAAGUCGAACGGUAGCAGGAGAAAGCUUGCUUUCUUGCUGACGAGUGGCGGACGGGUGAGUAAUGCUUGGGAAUCUGGCUUAUGGAGGGGGAUAACUACGGGAAACUGUAGCUAAUACCGCGUAGAAUCGGAAGAUGAGAGUGCGGGACCGCAAGGCCGCAUGCCAUGAGAUGAGCCCAAGUGGGAUUAGGUAGUUGGUGGGGUAAAGGCCUACCAAGCCUGCCAUCUCUAGCUGGUCUGAGAGGAUGGCCGGCCACACUGGAACUGAGACACGGUCCAGACUCCUACGGGAGGCAGCAGUGGGGAAUAUUGGGCAAUGGGAGGGAACCCUGACGCAGCCAUGCCGCGUGAAUGAAGAAGGCCUUCGGGUUGUAAAGUUCUUUCGGUAUUGAGGAAGGAGUGUAUGUUAAUAGCAUACAUUAUUGACGUUAAAUACAGAAAGAAAGCACCGGGCUAACUCCCGUGCCCAGCAGCCCGCGGGUAUACGGGAGGGUGCGAGCGUUAAAUCGGAAUAAACUGGGCGUAAAGGGCACGCAAGGCGGUUUAUUUAAGUGAGGUGGUGAAAGCCCCGGGCUUAACCUGGGAAUUGCAUUUCAGACUGGGUAACUAGAGUACUUUAGGGGAGGGGUAGAAUUCCACGUGUAGCGGUGAAAUUGCGUAGAGAUGUGGGAGGAAUACCGAAAGCGAAGGCAGCCCUUGGAAUGUACUGAACGCUCAUGUGCGAAGCGUGGGGAGGCAAACAGGAUUAGAUACCUGGGUAGUUCACGCUGUAACGCUGUUCGAUUGGGGAUGGCCUAAGCUUGGUGGCGUAGCUUACGUGGAUAAUUCGACGGCUUGGGGAGUACGCGCAGUAAAACUCAAAUGAUUGACGCGUGCAAGCGUGAGCAUGUGUUAUCGAUGCACGGAGACUACUACUUGACUCAUGAUUUAGAAUGAAGCUCGACUGACGUCUCAUGCGGUCAGCUGUGAGAGUAUCGCAAGCACUACUUGUCGAUUGACAGAUGCAGUACUGAAAGUGAUA
RNAcentral lists this ribosomal RNA (1072 nucleotides) under uncultured bacterium. RNAcentral describes it as "bacterial SSU rRNA". It matches the Rfam family "Bacterial small subunit ribosomal RNA". The record is from RNAcentral.